GGUCCAAUAGUGUAGCGGUUAUCACGUCUGCUUCACACGCAGAAGGCCGGCGGUUCGAACCCGCCUUGGACCA
Dracunculus medinensis (Guinea worm) is the source of this 73-nucleotide non-coding RNA. NCBI's taxonomy places the organism in Eukaryota, Metazoa, Nematoda, Chromadorea, Rhabditida, Dracunculidae. The record is from Rfam.